AACGAACGCUGGCGGCAUGCCUAACACAUGCAAGUCGAACGAACUCUUCGGAGUUAGUGGCGCACGGGUGCGUAACGCGUGGGAAUCUGCCCUUGGGUACGGAAUAACUCAGAGAAAUUUGUGCUAAUACCGUAUAAUGACUUCGGUCCAAAGAUUUAUCGCCCAAGGAUGAGCCCGCGUAAGAUUAGCUAGUUGGUGGGGUAAAAGCCUACCAAGGCGACGAUCUUUAGCUGGUCUGAGAGGAUGAUCAGCCACACUGGGACUGAGACACGGCCCAGACUCCUACGGGAGGCAGCAGUGGGGAAUAUUGGACAAUGGGCGAAAGCCUGAUCCAGCAAUGCCGCGUGAGUGAUGAAGGCCUUAGGGUUGUAAAGCUCUUUUACCCGGGAUGAUAAUGACAGUACCGGGAGAAUAAGCUCCGGCUAACUCCGUGCCAGCAGCCGCGGUAA
This 449-nucleotide ribosomal RNA is filed under the name uncultured bacterium. RNAcentral's name for it is "bacterial SSU rRNA". It matches the Rfam family "Bacterial small subunit ribosomal RNA", at positions 29 to 523 of the family's 1533-position model. The record is from RNAcentral.